This 31-nucleotide non-coding RNA is filed under the name Rattus norvegicus (Norway rat). The record is from RNAcentral. Lineage: Eukaryota; Metazoa; Chordata; Mammalia; Rodentia; Muridae.
UGCUAGAUCUCUGCUAGAUGCUCUGGUAGAA